AAACCGUCGCAUUUUCGAGACGGUUUGCGACGAUGCCAUAAAUUGCCGAUUCGAGGUUCGCUCGACGAACGAUCGCGAGAUUUUAAACACGUAACACGUCGUCGAACGUGUAAAGGCGAGCAUCCAAACGGUCGGCUGCGUAGGCAAAUCGGCGGGGCAGGGCAGGGAGGGAGCGGAUAAAGGGAGAGAGAGAGAGAGAGAGAGAGAGAGAGAGAGAGAGAGAGAGAGAGAGAAAGAGAGAACUGCUUAUUCGUUGGAACACAAGAUCGGGGUCGAAGAAGACGGGGGUGGGCAGCAGCCAGCUGAUUCGGGAGAGUUCGUGAACGACCGUAAUCGAAACGCGAGGGAACGAAAGAGGCGAGGUAGCGCAGCAGCGCACGUCCGAUGCAGUCUGCCGCGACCACCGGGAAACCAGCUGACUGGUCGGUUCGGUUGCGUUCGUCGAAUCGUUCGGCAGUCUUCGGAUCUUUGUUCGUCUCUGUGCACGAGGCGGCUACCGGCAAGCGACAAACCUUUCCGUCAGUCGUCAGUCGCCGUUUCGACACUGUCGAAGGGUAAUGUGCGCGUGUGUCUAUUACCUCUUUGACACGAUCAGCGUUACCUUGGUUGCUUGAAUCGCGCGAUCGGCCAUCUCGUUACCGCAUCGGUCGACCGUAGACGGUCGAUCAGAACGACGAUCGCUCGUCGUUCCGAGACAUACAAGAGAGAACGAAAGAACGCGAUUAGCGUCGUCGCGCAGUCUACUCGUUACCGGCCUCCUCGUUCGCGUCGUUGUCGCGUAGUCGGAGGAGAAGACGCGAGAGAAAUCGU
Long non-coding RNA from Bombus pascuorum, 810 nucleotides. RefSeq lists it as uncharacterized. NCBI's taxonomy places the organism in Eukaryota, Metazoa, Arthropoda, Insecta, Hymenoptera, Apidae. The transcript is spliced from 2 exons. The record is from RefSeq and is a predicted model, not a curated record.